RNAcentral lists this ribosomal RNA (370 nucleotides) under uncultured organism. RNAcentral's name for it is "bacterial SSU rRNA". It matches the Rfam family "Bacterial small subunit ribosomal RNA", at positions 526 to 896 of the family's 1533-position model. The record is from RNAcentral.
CAGAGGUCCCAAGCGUUGUUCGGAUUCACUGGGCGUAAAGGGUGCGUAGGUGGUGAGGUAAGUCGGAUGUGAAAGCUCCGAGCUCAACUCGGAAAUGGCAUUGGAAACUACCUUGCUCGAGGGUUUGAGGGGGACUGGAAUACUUGGUGUAGCAGUGAAAUGCGUAGAUAUCAAGUAGAACACCAGUGGCGAAGGCGAGUCCCUGGAAAACUCCUGACACUGAGGCACGAAAGCUAGGGGAGCAAACAGGAUUAGAUACCCUGGUAGUCCUAGCCGUAAACGGUGCGUAUUUGCUGUAAAAGGAAUCGACCCUUUUGUGGCGUAGCCAACGCGUUAAAUACGCCGCCUGGGAAGUACGGUCGCAAGAUUA